UGGACGAGAUUGAUCGCGAUGGACGGUCCAAAUCAGCAUGAGAUAGUUAUAAAUAUUUUCCAUCACACAGGAACCUAAACUCUAGUCGCCAGCCCCCGCAAGAGAAUAACCAAACGCCGGAGAAGGAGGUCAACUGCCGACCACCGACCGCUGCCACAUCGGAGCCAUCGCUGACCACCAAAAAUGGUAAAAAUUCUCCCUACCCAUCAGAAUUCAAUUCCGAGUACCUCUGUGGCUAAAUCAGAGCAAGAGAGACAGCAGGUGAGCCAAAAACUGCAGGCAAAGCCUGACGGAGCUGUCGCGGCUAAAACUCUUAAAUCCCUCC
This 325-nucleotide long non-coding RNA is filed under the name Carica papaya (papaya). RNAcentral's name for it is "long non-coding RNA (CPAP_LNC005780)". The record is from RNAcentral. Lineage: Eukaryota; Viridiplantae; Streptophyta; Magnoliopsida; Brassicales; Caricaceae.